UACUCUUGACAUCCAGAGAAUCCAGCGGAGACGCAGGAGUGCCUUCGGGAGCUCUGAGACAGGUGCUGCAUGGCUGUCGUCAGCUCGUGUUGUGAAAUGUUGGGUUAAGUCCCGCAACGAGCGCAACCCUUAUCCUUGUUUGCCAGCGAGUAAUGUCGGGAACUCCAGGGAGACUGCCGGUGAUAAACCGGAGGAAGGUGGGGACGACGUCAAGUCAUCAUGGCCCUUACGAGUAGGGCUACACACGUGCUACAAUGGCGCAUACAGAGGGCAGCCAACUUGCGAAAGUGAGCGAAUCCCAAAAAGUGCGUCGUAGUCCGGAUUGGAGUCUGCAACUCGACUCCAUGAAGUCGGAAUCGCUAGUAAUCG
Molecule: ribosomal RNA, 369 nt
Filed under: Vibrio aestuarianus
Lineage: Bacteria; Pseudomonadati; Pseudomonadota; Gammaproteobacteria; Vibrionales; Vibrionaceae
Description: bacterial SSU rRNA
Rfam family: Bacterial small subunit ribosomal RNA
Source: RNAcentral